RNAcentral lists this long non-coding RNA (563 nucleotides) under Ananas comosus (pineapple). RNAcentral describes it as "long non-coding RNA (ACOM_LNC017031)". Lineage: Eukaryota; Viridiplantae; Streptophyta; Magnoliopsida; Poales; Bromeliaceae. The record is from RNAcentral.
UGGUUUCGUUCUUAUGAGCGAGCGAGGCGAGCGAGCGCACGUGUAUUUUUAGCAUGUGGACGUCACGGUUGUGCCGUUGGGGGAGGCCGGGCGAGCGCGUGUUUUCCUCUUCUUUUGACUUCUCGCCGUCGUCGGAUUAGCUUUUCGAGGUGGGUUAAAGUUUACCGAAUUCUUCGGAUUUCCUUCUAAGCUUAGAUGUUGUCAGCAUGUAAACAUCAUCUGUAGUAUCAUGUUAGUAGCUCAAUUUGCCGAUUUGCAUUGCUUUUAAUGAAAUCUGAAUUGGAGCUUUGAAUGCUAGUUUUAUUAUACAUGUUGGAUUUGGAUUUGACUUAGGAGAAAACUAUAGGUUCUACACUGUCAUUUUCUGAAAACUAACAGAUUUAGCUUUAGGAGCUAUAGUUUGUUUGUAUCGCCGUAGUUUGUAGGCGAUGGAUACCCAGAAUAGUGUAGAAUGAAUUUACGCUCGUGCUGAGAUACCGUGUUUAUUUUUACAGUAAUGUAUAGACUGUGCCAGACUGUCGGGUGCCGUCGUGGUUGACAGUGGGCCCAGAUUUCUAUAUUUU